RNAcentral lists this ribosomal RNA (702 nucleotides) under uncultured bacterium. Its description in RNAcentral is "bacterial SSU rRNA". It matches the Rfam family "Bacterial small subunit ribosomal RNA", at positions 97 to 796 of the family's 1533-position model. The record is from RNAcentral.
AGCGUAAGGGUGCGUAACACGUAUGCAAUCUGCCCUGUACAGGAGGAUAGCUCGGCGAAAGCCGGAUUAAUACUCCGUAAUAUUAUGGGAAGGCAUCUUUUUAUAAUUAAAGUCGCAAGAUGGUACAGGAUGAGCAUGCGUCUGAUUAGCUAGUUGGUAGUGUAACGGACUACCAAGGCGAUGAUCAGUAGGGGAACUGAGAGGUUGAUCCCCCACACUGGCACUGAGAUACGGGCCAGACUCCUACGGGAGGCAGCAGUAGGGAAUAUUGGUCAAUGGAUGCAAGUCUGAACCAGCCAUGCCGCGUGCAGGAAGAAGGCCUUCUGGGUUGUAAACUGCUUUUGCCGGGGGAUAAAAUUCCCAUGCGUGGGACAUUGAAGGUACCCGGUGAAUAAGCCACGGCUAACUACGUGCCAGCAGCCGCGGUAAUACGUAGGUGGCAAGCGUUGUCCGGAUUUAUUGGGUUUAAAGGGUGCGUAGGCGGCCUAUUAAGUCAGUUCUGAAAUAUCCCGGCUUAACCGGGAGGGUGGGAUUGAUACUGAUGGGCUUGAGUGGAGUCGAGGUAGGCGGAAUUGACGGUGUAGCGGUGAAAUGCUUAGAUAUCGUCAAGAACACCGAUAGUGUAGACAGCUUACUAGACUUCAACUGACGCUGAGGCACGAAAGUGUGGGGAUCAAACAGGAUUAGAUACCCUGGUAGUCC